GCCCCCGUAGCUCAGCAGGAUAGAGCAAGGGAUUCCUAAUCCCUGUGUCGCACGUUCAAAUCGUGUCGGGGGCA
RNAcentral lists this transfer RNA (74 nucleotides) under Deltaproteobacteria bacterium. RNAcentral describes it as "tRNA-Arg". It matches the Rfam family "tRNA". Rfam says of the family: Transfer RNA (tRNA) molecules are approximately 80 nucleotides in length. Their secondary structure includes four short double-helical elements and three loops (D, anti-codon, and T loops). Further hydrogen bonds mediate the characteristic L-shaped molecular structure. tRNAs have two regions of fundamental functional importance: the anti-codon, which is responsible for specific mRNA codon recognition, and the 3' end, to which the tRNAs corresponding amino acid is attached (by aminoacyl-tRNA synthetases). tRNAs cope with the degeneracy of the genetic code in two manners: having more than one tRNA (with a specific anti-codon) for a particular amino acid; and 'wobble' base-pairing, i.e. permitting non-standard base-pairing at the 3rd anti-codon position. Lineage: Bacteria; Pseudomonadati; Myxococcota; Myxococcia. The record is from RNAcentral.